CUCUUUGCGCAGUGGCAGUAUCAUAGUCAAUGAGGUUAAUCCGAGGCGUGAUUAUUGCUAGUUGAAAACUGUGUGUGGGUGCAGGGGUCCACCUGUAUGGAGCUCAUUACAGAAUUGGGGUCUAAGACAUUAUAGGUUUAAUCUAUUUAAGCUGCUCUAAAGAUU
This 165-nucleotide small nuclear RNA is filed under the name Chelydra serpentina (North American snapping turtle). RNAcentral's name for it is "U4 spliceosomal RNA (ENSCSRG00000008411.1)". The stretch from base 1 to 74 matches the Rfam family "U4 spliceosomal RNA". Lineage: Eukaryota; Metazoa; Chordata; Testudines; Chelydridae. The record is from RNAcentral.